This 537-nucleotide long non-coding RNA is filed under the name Homo sapiens (human). RNAcentral's name for it is "non-protein coding lnc-SLC25A35-1:2". Lineage: Eukaryota; Metazoa; Chordata; Mammalia; Primates; Hominidae. The record is from RNAcentral.
CACCUCUUAGGCUGAGUGAUGAGCAGCAGGUCGCUAAAGAGCAGCAGGCAAAGAGGGGUGAAGCGGGGGCGCGAGGCAAAGAGCACGCCCCCCCUCCGGCACCCUAACUCAGUCAGCUCUCCCUGGAAUUCCAGGCGCCGUGACCAGGAGACCAGGGGCAGGGCCUGCGAGGAAGCGGAGGCAGAGGAGGUUCUAGCGUGGCAGCAGCAACAUGGGGCAGGGCAAGAUGGGGAGCCUGGGCAGCGAUGUACCUUGACUUUGUGGAAGCGCAGCCUUUGGGUGAGCCGGAUCAGCUCUUCAGUCUGCUUCAUGCGCCCCACCUCAGCGCUGCAACGCUCGAUGAUCUAGACCAGAGAUUUCUGAGUCUCCUUGUCAGCCGUCUCACGUAGCAACCAUUGUCUGGAACGCCCUAUUUGUGUGUCAAGGAAGCUCAACGUGAUGGACUGCAAACUCUCACACCUCCCACCAGCACCUGCAGCCCCUUAUCUCCCCUGCUGUGGUCAUCAGCACCACCACACCCCCAUUCGCCCAAGCUAA